Molecule: ribosomal RNA, 816 nt
Filed under: uncultured bacterium
Lineage: Bacteria
Description: bacterial SSU rRNA
Rfam family: Bacterial small subunit ribosomal RNA
Source: RNAcentral
GGCUCAGGAUGAACGCUGGCGGUAUGCUUAACACAUGCAAGUCGAACGAUGUUUUAGGACAUAGUGGCGGACGGGUGAGUAACGCGUAAGAAUCUGCCUUCAGGUUUGGGACAACCAUUGGAAACGGUGGCUAAUACCGAAUGUGCCGAGAGGUGAAAGGCUUGCUGCCUGAAGAAGAGCUUGCGUCUGAUUAGCUAGUAGGUGGGGUAAGAGCUUACCUAGGCGACGAUCAGUAGCUGGUCUGAGAGGAUGAUCAGCCACACUGGGACUGAGACACGGCCCAGACUCCUACGGGAGGCAGCAGUGGGGAAUUUUCCGCAAUGGGCGAAAGCCUGACGGAGCAAUACCGCGUGAGGGAGGAAGGCUCUUGGGUUGUAAACCUCUUUUCUCAAGGAAGAAAAAAAUGACGGUACUUGAGGAAUAAGCAUCGGCUAACUCCGUGCCAGCAGCCGCGGUAAUACGGAGGAUGCAAGCGUUAUCCGGAAUGAUUGGGCGUAAAGGGUCCGCAGGUGGUAGUGUAAGUCUGCUGUUAAAGAGUCACGCUCAACGUGAUAAAAGCAGUGGAAACUACACAACUAGAGUACGGUAGGGGCAGAAGGAAUUCCUGGUGUAGCGGUGAAAUGCGUAGAUAUCAGGAAGAACACCGGUGGCGAAAGCGUUGUGCUAGACCUGUACUGACACUGAGGGACGAAAGCUAGGGGAGCGAAUGGGAUUAGAUACCCCAGUAGUCCUAGCCGUAAACGAUGGAUACUAGGUGUGGCUUGUAUCGACCCGAGCCGUACCGUAGCUAACGCGUUAAGUAUCCCGCCUGGGGAG